Molecule: transfer RNA, 75 nt
Filed under: Patescibacteria group bacterium
Lineage: Bacteria
Description: tRNA-His
Rfam family: tRNA
About the family: Transfer RNA (tRNA) molecules are approximately 80 nucleotides in length.
Source: RNAcentral
GCGGCUAUGGUGUAACGGCUAACACUGGAGCUUGUGGAGCUCUCAAUCCGAGUUCGAUUCUCGGUAGCCGCCCCA